GUGCUAGCUUGAGCAGCAUAUAUACUAAAAUUGAAACAGUACAGGGAAGAUUACCUGGCCCUUGCACAAGGAUGACACACGAAUUUGUGAAGCAUUCCAUAUUUCU
Small nuclear RNA from Diceros bicornis minor, 106 nucleotides. The record is from RefSeq and is a predicted model, not a curated record. NCBI's taxonomy places the organism in Eukaryota, Metazoa, Chordata, Mammalia, Perissodactyla, Rhinocerotidae.